UGUCUUUAAGUUUAAUAGUUUAAGGUCAAAUCUGCUCACUGAAUUUUAAAGAGCUGCAGUAUUUUAACUGUGCAAAGGUAGCAUAAUCAAUAGUUUUUUAAUUGAAAACUUGUAUGAAAGAUUAGAUGAUAAAUUAGCUUUUUUUGAUUAUGUAAAUUUAAUUUAAAAUUUGAGUUAAAAUUCUUAGAUUUAAUUUAAAGACGAGAAGACCCUAUAGAUUUUUAUUAUUAGUUUGUUUGUAAUAUUAUUAAAUUUAAAUUUAUAAUUUAAUUGGGGUGAUUUUGUAAUAAAAUAAACUUAAAUAAAAUUUUACCAUAAAUAAUUGAAUAUUUUGAUUUAAAAUUUUUGAUGAAAGAAUAAAUUACCUUAGGGAUAACAGUGUAAUUUUAUUUAAGAGUUCAUAUUUAUAAUAAAGUUUGCUACCUCGAUGUUGAAUUAAGAAAUUUAUUGAAGCAGAAGUUGAUGAAAAUUAGUCUGUU
RNAcentral lists this ribosomal RNA (479 nucleotides) under Lesneia testudinata. RNAcentral's name for it is "partial 16S ribosomal RNA". Lineage: Eukaryota; Metazoa; Arthropoda; Insecta; Psocodea; Lesneiidae. The record is from RNAcentral.